CACCGCGUCCCUUCUCGCGAGACUAGGAGCCCGCCAAAACGCCUCGUGGCGGCUGGCUGCGCCGCUAUUGCCGCGUGGAGCGGCCAGUGCGGGGUGAGGCGUCCUGCUAACGCCGCGAGGAAAGAAGGGUGUGGGAUCCCCGUGUAUCUCUGGAAGGACAGAAAAUUAAACAAAAGAACAGAAUACACUCUGGAUUUUCUUCCUAUGUACAGUCUACACUGAUUGAAGUGCUGAAUCCACUCAUAGGACCAGCUUACUGUAAAUACUCCAUUUCAAUAGACUGCCAAAAGAACUGCAAAAUACUUCAAAGCCUGCUGAAGCAAGAAUCAAGUUUGGUUAUUUUCUGUUCCAUAAUGUUAUCUCUUGUGGACAGCUCAACCUAUAAGAAGUGAAUUUGU
Molecule: long non-coding RNA, 398 nt
Filed under: Dromaius novaehollandiae (emu)
Lineage: Eukaryota; Metazoa; Chordata; Aves; Casuariiformes; Dromaiidae
Description: lncRNA (ENSDNVG00000000886.1)
Source: RNAcentral